Molecule: ribosomal RNA, 433 nt
Filed under: uncultured bacterium
Lineage: Bacteria
Description: partial 16S ribosomal RNA
Rfam family: Bacterial small subunit ribosomal RNA
Source: RNAcentral
AACGAACGCUGGCGGCAUGCCUAACACAUGCAAGUCGAACGAGACCUUCGGGUCUAUUGGCGCACGGGUGCGUAACGCGUGGGAACCUGCCCUUAGGUUCGGAAUAACUCCCCGAAAGGGGUGCUAAUACCGGAUAAUGUCUUCGGACCAAAGAUUUAUCGCCUUUGGAUGGGCCCGCGUUGGAUUAGCUAGUUGGUAGGGUAAAAGCCUACCAAGCCGACGAUCCAUAGCUGGUCUGAGAGGAUGAUCAGCCACACUGGGACUGAGACACGGCCCAGACUCCUACGGGAGGCAGCAGUGGGGAAUAGUGGACAAUGGGCGAAAGCCUGAUCCAGCAAUGCCGCGUGAGUGAUGAAGGCCUUAGGGUUGUAAAGCUCUUUUACCCGGGAUGAUAAUGACAGUACCGGGAGAAUAAGCUCCGGCUAACUCCGUG